Molecule: ribosomal RNA, 310 nt
Filed under: uncultured eukaryote
Lineage: Eukaryota
Description: partial 18S ribosomal RNA
Rfam family: Eukaryotic small subunit ribosomal RNA
Source: RNAcentral
CCCUUAGAUGUCCUGGGCCGCACGCGCGUUACACUGAUGCAUUCAACGAGCUUAUAACCUUGGCCGAGAGGCCUGGGCAAUCUUGUUAACGUGCAUCGUGAUAGGGAUAGAUUAUUGAAAUUAUUAAUCUUGAACGAGGAAUUCCUAGUAAACGCAGAUCAUCAAUCUGCAUUGAUUACGUCCCUGCCCUUUGUACACACCGCCCGUCGCUACUACCGAUUGAAUGGCUUAGUGAGGCCUCAGGAUCCGCGCUUAAUGUGUGGAGAAUUUGGACAAACUACGUCAUUUAGAGGAAGUAAAAGUCGUAACA